Puntigrus tetrazona (Sumatra barb) is the source of this 2315-nucleotide long non-coding RNA. RefSeq lists it as uncharacterized. The transcript has 4 exons. The record is from RefSeq and is a predicted model, not a curated record. Lineage: Eukaryota; Metazoa; Chordata; Actinopteri; Cypriniformes; Cyprinidae.
CACGGAGGCUUUUGUUGUGUGAACCUAGUGUCUUUUUCCGUCAAGUUUUUUUCCACUGUUUUUUAGAAAAUGUUACUGUUUUAAUUACAAAAAAGACUCAGCUAUAACAUUACAACGGAAAAACACAGUAUUUGCCUGGUGUUCAGUGAUGGAUAGGAAAAUUCAGAGGAUGUGAGGAGACGUAACGACGCACAGGAGAUGACAGACAGAAGUGGCGGUCAGAUCACGAGACAAGACGAAAAACCAACAAAGCCACAACAGUAUGUUCAACAGAAACAAAGGAACGCCUUUAUGAGAUCACAUGUCAUCCAAACCCUUUUAUUAAAGCAGAGGACCAGUGACCUGGUAGCCAUAGCGAUGCAGCUUGUCAUUUUUGCACCUGUACUAGGCCAUUCCAACCUUUUAUGUUUGGAUAAGACAUCCUAGGCCUUCUUAUCUUUUGUUGCUCUUUGGCUUCUAAAUGAACCAUUUUUUAAUCUUUAUUUUUAAUUAGCACAGAAACUGGCCUUUUUGUGAACGAGGUUUUGCAAACGUUUUACCAUUAAACGCAAAUAUUUCAGAGGGUCACGGUGGCUCUCAAUGCUUAUGUUUUCAUCUUUCAAGUAUCUGUUUUUCAAGUAUCAAGUAUCUAUCCAUCAAGACAGGGUUUACAUAAAGUGGUUUUAUCAGAAUUUCCUGAGUAUAUAUAAAAUCAACAUUUGCUCAAUUGUUUAAAAUACUAAAUUUCCAUUUCAUGCAAACUUUAACUUUGGAAAAACGAUUCUGUGUCAAUUCUUUAAAUGAUGCAAAACGCAUUUGUAUACGAGUUCCUCCAUAAAUCAUCGUAUAAAUCGUGCAUAUGCAUGUCUUACUUAAAUUCUAACUGCAAGAGUAUGUGUUACAAUCGGCACCCACACAGAUCUGCUCCGAGUUUUCAGACAUCGGCUGGAAUGUGUGUCAUAUUCAGAGCUCAAGGUGACACGGUAGCAAAGUUCAGUGGAACACAUUUAGACGUUUUCCCACAUAUCAGGAAAGGCAGCAGUCACUGAAAUACUGGUUGUAACUGAGACGGGGGGAGGUGUUUUUAUUUGUGUGUACCCAUGCUAGAAUUGUGGUUAUAAUAGCAUUUGAUCAUAAAACAUGUUUGACUGACAGCUAAUGUUUUGCAUAGCAGUUUGAGAAAUAUGAUCGUGCACACACGGGGUCCUGAAUGCUAGACGAGUCGGUGUGCAAACAGUUCCUUGCUGAGCUAGAGUCCACAUAGUUUGCCGUUGCCACAGACCCGGCAGUAACUCUCCUUUCACUAUUAUAAUUCAUGGCUAUUUACGGCCAAUGGGAUGGGUGAGCUGGGCCUCCUGCCGCAAACUCAGCCCUUGACCUUGCACUCACAACCCCACCAUACACCCCUCCCCCAACUCUCCCUGGCUCUGUAAGUGAAAGGCCCAUAUGUCUUGUGCUGGCUCCGGCCCACGGCCAUGACAUUCCCUUUGAAGGCAGUCCUGCUUGCUGACUGCUAAGGAGAAGCUCGCGCCAUUCGGAGUUGUUAUGCAAUUCCUAAUGCCAUUCAACACCUACAUAAACAGUCUGGGCAGCUUCUAGAGCGGGUACAUUUACCAUGCCAAGUUUUAUGUAAGCCGUGCUGCGUUGAUAUAAACAUAAAGGCGUUUGAAUGCAUGAGGAUAUAUUAUUUAUGGCUUUUAAACAUUAUCACAAGACAAAUUCCAUCUAAACUAACCUAAACAAAUUGUUUAGUUACACAAAUUUUCCAAACUGAUCAUGAUUAAUUUGCUGUUUAUUUUUAUGCUGGCGUCCAAAUAGUUUGUUUAUAGGAGACGUCACUGCUCCGUUGAGUCAUGCACACGCGAACCCUCGCAACCUUUCCAGUUUUCUGUGCGUGAGUAAGCGUGGCCAAACAUGUCAGAACAUGUGUUUCUCGUUUUGAUGCAGAAUGGCAUCGCGCACAGAAUAAAAGAGACACUUGUGUACCUUAUGAUACACAUUUUCUAGAGCAGUGAAUCUCAACCUUGUUCUUGAAGGGGCCCUCCAACGGUACAUGAUGGAUGUCUGUCCAUCCAAAAAAUUACUUUCCCACAUGUCAUUCCAAACCUGCAUGCCUUUCUUUCUUCUGUAGAACACAAAAGAAUAUAUCUUGAUGAAUGCAAGCAACCAAACAAUUUGGGGUCCUAUUGGUUUUCAUUAUAUAGCCUAGAAUAUUUUUAAUGUGAUCUAAAUCUGUUUGGUUACCAACAUCCUCAAAAUAUCUUAUUUUUUUGUUCCACAGACGAAAUAAUGUUUGGUUUUGGAAUGAGAUAUGGGUGAGUAAAUGAUGACAGAUU